CUGGGUGUGGCGCAGCUUGGCUAGCGCGUUAGCUUGGGGUGCUAAAGGUCGGAGGUUCAAAUCCUCUCACUCAGA
This 75-nucleotide transfer RNA is filed under the name Chlamydiota bacterium. Its description in RNAcentral is "Chlamydiae bacterium (freshwater metagenome) tRNA-Pro". It matches the Rfam family "tRNA". Rfam says of the family: Transfer RNA (tRNA) molecules are approximately 80 nucleotides in length. The record is from RNAcentral. Lineage: Bacteria; Pseudomonadati; Chlamydiota.